RNAcentral lists this transfer RNA (69 nucleotides) under Rattus norvegicus (Norway rat). It matches the Rfam family "tRNA". From Rfam's summary of the family: Transfer RNA (tRNA) molecules are approximately 80 nucleotides in length. Lineage: Eukaryota; Metazoa; Chordata; Mammalia; Rodentia; Muridae. The record is from Rfam by way of RNAcentral.
GGUGAUUUAGCUCAGUGGUAGAGCACUUGCCUAGCAAGCGAAAGGCCCUGGGUUCGGUCCCCAGCUCCA